GCGGGCCUGGUUCGCCGGUGCGGACGCCGAACUCGGCCUGUGGCCGGGCUGGUUCGACGCCGCCGGUCCGCGC
This 73-nucleotide transfer RNA is filed under the name Kitasatospora phosalacinea. RNAcentral describes it as "tRNA-Pro". Lineage: Bacteria; Bacillati; Actinomycetota; Actinomycetes; Kitasatosporales; Streptomycetaceae. The record is from RNAcentral.